This is a long non-coding RNA of Mercurialis annua (annual mercury), 347 nucleotides long. RefSeq lists it as uncharacterized. The transcript has 3 exons. The record is from RefSeq and is a predicted model, not a curated record. NCBI's taxonomy places the organism in Eukaryota, Viridiplantae, Streptophyta, Magnoliopsida, Malpighiales, Euphorbiaceae.
CAGUCUGGACGAAGGUCGACAAAGUUAUACAGUCGCAGCUGAUAGAUAUCCGCAAAACACUUGAGGACUCCAGACGGACUAUUGGCGUACAUCGACGCGGUUUUCCAUUUGACAAGCUCUCAUGCAGAGUGUCGCAUUACUGUCUGGAUUUAAUAUCGAAAGAACUAAGGCGUAUGCGAGAUUUGAGUACCGAUGUCUACGAUCGCUGUGGUUGUGUGGUUAGAUCAACACAUCAGAUCCCCUGUGCAUGUGAGCUGCGAGCGGUGGUCGAUUCAGGUAACCCGAUCAGCCUUGACAGUAUACACCCGUUUUGGACGAAACUUGUUAUUCUCGGCGAUGGGUUGGAC